UUUCACUGCUGCACACUUCUUCUGCUCUUUUCUUUUCUCCUCCUCCUCUUCUUCUUCUCCUCUCAUCUCCUCUCUUAUUCUCUGUUCAUACAUUCUCUUUCUUCUUCUAGCUAUGAUUUUCGUCAUCUUAGAUACCUAAGAUUUUCAUUUCUAUUCCUCCAUACCUCAAAUUUUGGUUCAUGCAUGUGUUGAUCUAAACAGAGUUGCAGAUCUGGAAGUUUCAGUUUACAGAUCCAUGCCAUGUUGGGGAGAGGGCUAAGAGAAUCAGGGGUGAGAGGGGUCAAUUACUUCAUGUGUUCAAGCAAUUUAGCAUGUUUUCUCCAUCUAUGGAUUUUGGAUUUUGAUAAGUAGCCUUGAAGG
RNAcentral lists this long non-coding RNA (360 nucleotides) under Rosa chinensis. RNAcentral describes it as "sRNA RchiOBHm_Chr4g0403891". Lineage: Eukaryota; Viridiplantae; Streptophyta; Magnoliopsida; Rosales; Rosaceae. The record is from RNAcentral.